AACGAACGCUGGCGGCGCGUCUUAAGCAUGCAAGUCGAACGGCAAGAGAGGAGCUUGCUUCUCUCCUAGAGUGGCGGACUGGUGAGGAACACGUGGGUAAUCUACCCUUAAGAUGGGGAUAGCUGCUAGAAAUAGCAGGUAAUACCGAAUACACUCGGCAUAUCCCAAGAGGUGUUGAGGAAAGGAAGCUACGGCUUCGCUUGAGGAUGAGCUUGCGUCCCAUUAGCUAGUUGGUGAGGUAAAGGCCCACCAAGGCGACGAUGGGUAUCCGGCCUGAGAGGGUGAACGGACACAUUGGGACUGAGAUACGGCCCAAACUCCUACGGGAGGCAGCAGCUAAGAAUAUUCCGCAAUGGACGGAAGUCUGACGGAGCGACGCCGCGUGGAUGAAGAAGGCUGAAAAGUUGUAAAAUCCUUUUGUUGAUGAAGAAUAAGGGUGAGAGGGAAUGCUCAUCUGAUGACGGUAAUCGACGAAUAAGCCCCGGCUAAUUACGUG
Molecule: ribosomal RNA, 496 nt
Filed under: uncultured bacterium
Lineage: Bacteria
Description: partial 16S ribosomal RNA
Rfam family: Bacterial small subunit ribosomal RNA
Source: RNAcentral